AUACGUAGGUGGCGAGCGUUGUCCGGAAUUACUGGGCGUAAAGAGUGCGUAGGCGGAUAUUUAAGUGAGAUGUGAAAUACCCGGGCUUAACCCGGGCACUGCAUUUCAAACUGGAUAUCUAGAGUGCGGGAGAGGAGAAUGGAAUUCCUAGUGUAGCGGUGAAAUGCGUAGAGAUUAGGAAGAACACCAGUGGCGAAGGCGAUUCUCUGGACCGUAACUGACGCUGAGGCACGAAAGCAUGGGUAGCAAACAGGAUUAGAUACCCUGGUAGUCCAUGCCGUAAACGAUGAUUACUGGGUGUGGGGGGUCUGACCCCUUCCGUGCCGGAGUUAACACAAUAAGUAAUCCACCUGGGGAGUACGACCGCAAGGUUGAA
RNAcentral lists this ribosomal RNA (376 nucleotides) under uncultured bacterium. Its description in RNAcentral is "bacterial SSU rRNA". It matches the Rfam family "Bacterial small subunit ribosomal RNA", at positions 523 to 898 of the family's 1533-position model. The record is from RNAcentral.